This 491-nucleotide ribosomal RNA is filed under the name uncultured bacterium. Its description in RNAcentral is "bacterial SSU rRNA". It matches the Rfam family "Bacterial small subunit ribosomal RNA", at positions 17 to 507 of the family's 1533-position model. The record is from RNAcentral.
UCCUGGCUCAGAUUGAACGCUGGCGCAUGCUUUACACAUGCAAGUCGAACGGUAGAGGGGGCAACCUCUCGAGAGUGGCGAACGGGUGAGUAAUAUAUCGGAACGUGCCCAGUCGUGGGGAUAACGUAGCGAAAGUUACGCUAAUACCGCAUACGAUCUACGGAUGAAAGCGGGGGACUCGCAAGAGCCUCGCGCGAUUGGAGCGGCCGAUAUCAGAUUAGGUAGUUGGUGGGGUAAAGGCUCACCAAGCCAACGAUCUGUAGCUGGUCUGAGAGGACGACCAGCCACACUGGAACUGAGACACGGUCCAGACUCCUACGGGAGGCAGCAGUGGGGAAUUUUGGACAAUGGACGCAAGUCUGAUCCAGCCAUUCCGCGUGCAGGAUGAAGGCCCUCGGGUUGUAAACUGCUUUUGUACGGAACGAAAAGGUUUCUAUUAAUACUAGGAGCUCAUGACGGUACCGUAAGAAUAAGCACCGGCUAACUACGUG